RNAcentral lists this long non-coding RNA (463 nucleotides) under Homo sapiens (human). RNAcentral describes it as "novel transcript, antisense to CNPPD1". Lineage: Eukaryota; Metazoa; Chordata; Mammalia; Primates; Hominidae. The record is from RNAcentral.
GGGAAGGGAGGUGUCAAGCGUCCGUGCGACGCUCACCUCGCGGAGCAGAAAGGAGAUGCGGCUGCGAGGCGCGUACUCCGCCUGUGCCGCGUCCGCCCGGCGUUUACAAGCCGCGGGGGUGCCGCCUGCAAGUCAGCGCCUGGCACUUCCUGCCGCCCAUCUGGCCCAGCCUCCCGCCCCGACCCGCGGGCAGGAACCGGACUCGAACUCCUGGUCUCACGGAACGUGGCCAAGCCCCAGGCGCCUCUGAGAAAUGGGGACAAUUCGUAGGGGGGACCACGCCGCACUGAGGAUGAACAAGCCAGGCGUAGCAAUGGAGAAGUUAAUGUGAAUAAGACGAAACGCACAACAGGAAGUUGUUCCCAGUUGCUUUUUAGGAGAGAUAUUAUACAUACUCAGCAAUGCAUAUGAAAAGCGUCUGAAAGGACACACAGGAAAUUUAGCAGUGGGUGAACUAUGAAAA